This is a long non-coding RNA of Apis laboriosa (Himalayan honeybee), 1311 nucleotides long. RefSeq lists it as uncharacterized. NCBI's taxonomy places the organism in Eukaryota, Metazoa, Arthropoda, Insecta, Hymenoptera, Apidae. The record is from RefSeq and is a predicted model, not a curated record. The transcript is spliced from 7 exons.
UGAUCUAAACGAGGCAAUUCAGCCAAUAACCAACGAAUACUCACGUCAUCGAGAAACUUGAUCAAUUUUCUACACGUCUGAUGCUUCAAAUUCUCCUCUAUGAACGUAUCCAGCUCGUUCUUCUCAUCCUUCCUCGGUUUCGCCUUUAAAGGUAUAAAAUAAAUGAAAAGGAAACUUUCAAGGAAAGCAAUCAACGUCAUUCCAUCUUUGAUAACUUCCUUGAAGAGCAGAUUCAUUUCUUCUGGAGCUCCAUCCUCUUCGAACAUCCCCAAACCUAUAGCCAGGUUUUCCUGUUUCAUAGUCUCCGCCUGUAUAGCCAAAGUAUCCUCUACCUUAUCUCUGAUUGAUGAACAAUGACAAAUGAAGAAUCAAAUAAAGAGCAACUCGUUUGCACAACAAGGUACAACAAUAUUUAAGAGAGAAAAAAAAAACGAUCUUCCCGUCUGCAGAUACUCUGAUAGAGUGAAGCUAGUUUCGAGCGACCUACGCUCUAUUAAAGCUUUUGUUGCAACCAAGAUGCAGUUUCGAUGCUCAUCUCCUAUAUUUUCGCUAAAAACUUUAUUAUUGAAAUGGAAUUCAUCAUAGCUGAUUGAAAACAAAUGUUCGAAUCCACACUUCGUCGCUAUCUUCUGCGAAUAAUUGGAGGUCAUGAUUGCUGAUAUCACGUUAGGAUUUCCCUUUUUUAACUCCUCUACUAUCUUUAUCGAUGAAGUUACCAGCAGCUCUCCUAUCCUACACUUUUGAUUAGAAGGCAAAGUGGCCAAAAACAUGAUUUCAAAGAUACAAUCGGUGUUAUAGUGCUUGAACAAAUCUAUCCUGCUGUCUAUAUUUAUCAUGAAAUCUAUCAAGGCUUUUGAAGAUUUACACUUGCAAUUAUCCCUGAAUAUUUCAAAGGUACUUUUCUCUGAUGAAUUUUUGAGAAGCUGAAAAACGAAACAACAACACUAACCCCAUCCUUCGCUGCAUCAAAACAGAGUUCCUCAAGUUCUUUGCUUGCACCGGAUUCUGAGAGUAUCAUCGGUCAGAGACUCGAAGACGAUAGCCCCAUUGUUUAUGGAGUCCCAGAUACCAUAUGGUGAUGUUCUAUUUCACAUUUUGGAAUAAAAUCAAAUGUAAAUUUUUUUAAGAAUAACGAUAAAAAUUAAUGAUUAUAUAUUAAUAUGGUUAAUAUAUUCUUGUUAAAAUGAAAAUUUUAUCAAAAGAGAUAUUCUAAGUGGAAUUAAAUGAUUGAGAAUAUUUUAAAUAACAUUAAACAUUUUUUGUUAAAGUUUUCAAUUAAAAUAUAAAUAUUUAAUAUAAAUAAUAAAUAAA